Molecule: ribosomal RNA, 434 nt
Filed under: uncultured Oscillospiraceae bacterium
Lineage: Bacteria; Bacillati; Bacillota; Clostridia; Eubacteriales; Oscillospiraceae
Description: partial 16S ribosomal RNA
Rfam family: Bacterial small subunit ribosomal RNA
Source: RNAcentral
ACGGAAGGCAGCAGUGGGGAAUAUUGGGCAAUGGGGGAAACCCUGACCCAGCAACGCCGCGUGAAGGAAGAAGGCCUUCGGGUUGUAAACUUCUUUUACCAGGGACGAUAAUGACGGUACCUGGAGAAAAAGCAACGGCUAACUACGUGCCAGCAGCCGCGGUAAUACGUAGGUUGCAAGCGUUGUCCGGAUUUACUGGGUGUAAAGGGCGUGUAGGCGGAGCUGCAAGUCAGAUGUGAAAUCCCGGGGCUCAACCCCGGAACUGCAUUUGAAACUGUAGCCCUUGAGUAUCGGAGAGGCAAGCGGAAUUCCUAGUGUAGCGGUGAAAUACGUAGAUAUUAGGAGGAACACCAGUGGCGAAGGCGGCUUGCUGGACGACAACUGACGCUGAGGCGCGAAAGCGUGGGGAGCAAACAGGAUUAGAUACCCUGGUA